GUCCCAGCCGUAAACGGUGUGCACUUGGUGUGGGAGGAAUUAUCCCCUUCCGUGCCGUAGCUAACGCGAUAAGUGCACCGCCUGGGGAGUACGGCCGCAAGGCUAAAACUCAAAGAAAUUGACGGGGGCCCGCACAAGCGGUGGAGCAUGUGGCUUAAUUCGAUGCAACGCGAAGAACCUUACCAGGGCUUGACAUGUAACUGCACGCCCGGUGAAAGCCGGGUUCCUUCGAGGGUGUUACACAGGUGCUGCAUGGCUGUCGU
This 263-nucleotide ribosomal RNA is filed under the name uncultured bacterium. RNAcentral's name for it is "partial 16S ribosomal RNA". It matches the Rfam family "Bacterial small subunit ribosomal RNA", at positions 793 to 1055 of the family's 1533-position model. The record is from RNAcentral.